Priapulus caudatus is the source of this 320-nucleotide long non-coding RNA. RefSeq lists it as uncharacterized. The record is from RefSeq and is a predicted model, not a curated record. The transcript is spliced from 3 exons. NCBI's taxonomy places the organism in Eukaryota, Metazoa, Priapulida, Priapulimorpha, Priapulimorphida, Priapulidae.
UGGUUGACACAGGCACUACCUAUAUAUAUAGAGUGCGUGUCGAGUAUCUAUAUUCGCGUUUAGAACUGAAAAUCUUGACGGAGCGUCAAAGAAUCACUGUAACUACGGAGUGCAUGUGUCGUGCGUCUUUAUUCCACCCCGGCAGAAAGCGAACUUGUGCACACGCGUCUCCGUAACCGCGGUGUACACAGUGAUAGAACACACACUACAGCUGAGACGUGCGCUACGACACACCGCCCACUGUCCGUUGCUGGAUUGAUUUAUCUAGGAGCGACAACGAUGAGACCAGACCUCCUGCUGCUUGCUCUGUGCAUCCUGAC